UACGUAGGGUGCAAGCGUUGUCCGGAAUUAUUGGGCGUAAAGGGCUCGUAGGCGGUCCGUCACGUCGGGAGUGAAAACUUGGGGCUUAACCCCAAGCCUGCUUCCGAUACGGGCGGACUAGAGGUAGGCAGGGGAGAACGGAAUUCCUGGUGUAGCGGUGAAAUGCGCAGAUAUCAGGAGGAACACCGGUGGCGAAGGCGGAUCUCUGGGCCAUUACUGACGCUGAGGAGCGAAAGCGUGGGGAGCGAACAGG
Molecule: ribosomal RNA, 253 nt
Filed under: uncultured bacterium
Lineage: Bacteria
Description: partial 16S ribosomal RNA
Rfam family: Bacterial small subunit ribosomal RNA
Source: RNAcentral